CAGCAGCCGCGGGAAUACGAAGGGGGCUAGCGUUGCUCGGAAUGACUGGGCGUAAAGGGCGCGUAGGCGGAUUGUUUAGUUAGGCGUGAAAUUCCUGGGCUUAACCUGGGGACUGCGCUUAAUACAGGCAGUCUAGAGUGAGGAAGAGGGUUGUGGAAUUCCCAGUGUAGAGGUGAAAUUCGUAGAUAUUGGGAAGAACACCGGUGGCGAAGGCGGCAACCUGGUCCUUGACUGACGCUGAGGCGCGAAAGCGUGGGGAGCAAACAGGAUUAGAUACCCGAGUAGUCCCUGUCUCUUAUAC
RNAcentral lists this ribosomal RNA (301 nucleotides) under uncultured bacterium. Its description in RNAcentral is "partial 16S ribosomal RNA". It matches the Rfam family "Bacterial small subunit ribosomal RNA", at positions 509 to 807 of the family's 1533-position model. The record is from RNAcentral.